This 253-nucleotide ribosomal RNA is filed under the name uncultured bacterium. RNAcentral describes it as "partial 16S ribosomal RNA". It matches the Rfam family "Bacterial small subunit ribosomal RNA", at positions 524 to 776 of the family's 1533-position model. The record is from RNAcentral.
UACGUAGGGUGCGAGCGUUGUCCGGAAUUAUUGGGCGUAAAGAGCUUGUAGGCGGUUUGUCGCGUCUGCUGUGAAAAUCCGGGGCUCAACCCCGGACUUGCAGUGGGUACGGGCAGACUAGAGUGUGGUAGGGGAGACUGGAAUUCCCGGUGUAGCGGUGAAAUGCGCAGAUAUCAGGAGGAACACCGGUGGCGAAGGCGGGUCUCUGGGCCGAUACUGACGCUGAGGAGCGAAAGCGUGGGGAGCGAACAGG